Molecule: ribosomal RNA, 492 nt
Filed under: uncultured bacterium
Lineage: Bacteria
Description: partial 16S ribosomal RNA
Rfam family: Bacterial small subunit ribosomal RNA
Source: RNAcentral
AGUGAACGCUGGCGGUAGGCCUAACACAUGCAAGUCGAACGGCAGCACAGUAAGAGCUUGCUCUUACGGGUGGCGAGUGGCGGACGGGUGAGGAAUACAUCGGAAUCUACUUUUUCGUGGGGGAUAACGUAGGGAAACUUACGCUAAUACCGCAUACGACCUACGGGUGAAAGCAGUGGAUCUUCGGACCUUGCGCGAUUGAAUGAGCCGAUGUCGGAUUAGCUAGUUGGCGGGGUAAAGGCCCACCAAGGCGGCGAUCCGUAGCUGGUCUGAGAGGAUGGUCAGCCACACUGGAGCUGAGACACGGUCCAGACUACUACGGGAGGCAGCAGUGGGGAAUAUUGGACAAUGGGCGCAAGCCUGAUCCAGCCAUACCGCGUGGGUGAAGAAGGCCUUCGGGUUGUAAAGCCCUUUUGUUGGGAAAGAAAAGCAGCAGGUUAAUACCCCGCUGUUCUGACGGUACCCAAAGAAUAAGCACCGGCUAACUUCGUG